This 58-nucleotide transfer RNA is filed under the name Mesocricetus auratus (golden hamster). It matches the Rfam family "tRNA", at positions 8 to 63 of the family's 71-position model. From Rfam's summary of the family: Transfer RNA (tRNA) molecules are approximately 80 nucleotides in length. Their secondary structure includes four short double-helical elements and three loops (D, anti-codon, and T loops). The record is from Rfam by way of RNAcentral. Lineage: Eukaryota; Metazoa; Chordata; Mammalia; Rodentia; Cricetidae.
UGGCUCAGUAGGUGGAGCAUGUGCCUUAAAAGCACAAGGACCUGAGUUUGAUCCCCAG